AACUAGACAGUAUGUGGCAGGGAGAUGCACAGACAGAGCAUGAGGACGAAUAUGAGAAUGUAGAGAGUGAGGACGAGGACGAACAGAAGGAAGAUCCUCCCCAGCCUCAAAUCAAUUAAAUGUUAAUCGUCCGGAUCAAAAAACGGCCAAUAGGCUUCGUCCGGACCAAGAGAAGGCCAUUAGUCUUCGUCCGGACCAAAAAACGGCCAAAAGGCUUCGUCCGAAACGUAAAAUCGUAGACAAUAUGCAUCAUUUGGAGAAAAGAAAGGGCUAGCCGGCAAUUUUAGGACCAAUUUAAUAUUUACUCAUUGUAUUAUAGUUUCAAGAUCAAUUCAACCAUUUUAUAUCAACAUAAAUCGUCUUUGAACAACGCGGCAUUCAUUCGUAUACAUAAAAAUACAAAUAUCAUAAUUAAGAAAACUAAUGUCUAAUAUCCAGGGAUUUUAAAAAUGUCGUCUUGCUAUUUUAUACAUUCAAAAUUGAUGCAGAUAUCAUUAUUUUAUUUCAUUGGGCCGUUUUAAAGAUAUAAGAUUUCAGACCUCAUUUCGUUGUUAAAACAAACUUUUAAAACAUCGAAGACAGUUCAUUAUGCCUUUUAUUUUUGGACCCCUCUGUACUUAAUACAAUAAGUAUCAGCUUUAAUUUUCUUAAAAUUCAUUUUAAAAAAUUGUGUUGAUAAAAUUUUAGUAAAAUCUGGGUUUCUAUGUUUUAUGACUUCUAGGUUUACAAAGAAAAUUUAAAAUUGAAUUAAUUUGAUAUUAUUAAAGAUCUUCAAGUAUUCAUGUUGUAUUAAUUAUUAAUCAAUGUUUUCAUACUUUAUUAGAUUAUUUAUGUUUAACAUAAACUAUUUAUUAUCCACUAUAUGUAUAUAACCGUAUUCAUUUAUUCUCUCUUGUACACUGUACGAUAUGUUUAUGUUAACAUGUUAAAUAACACAGGAUAAGAAUUCUGUUUAAUGUACAUCACUCGGUAGUCGGAUAUGGAACGUGUCCCCCGCCCCCACCCCCCCUAUAAUCUUUAUGAGGAAAUAUGACAUUUUUUUGAGAAAUGUUUGACGGAUCAUGAGCAGUUGUUUUCCCCGCGUUUCGGGUAGUUACGUAAAUACUUUUAAGGUUUUCUUAAAUCAAGAAAUUUUUUAAUUCACUAAUACACCCCCCCCCCUCUCAUCGCUCUCUUUUUCUUUUUGUGACCAUAUAUUUGAAAAUUUGCACUUUUGAGUUUCUAGGUUUUUUUGAAUUGUAGUUUAGUGUUUCAAAUUACUAUAUUGUGUAAUAUUUUGUAAUGUUGAAAAAUAUGUAAUUUAUAUGUUUCUCCCUUUUUUAGAAAUAAAUUGGUUAAAAACA
Eurytemora carolleeae is the source of this 1343-nucleotide long non-coding RNA. RefSeq lists it as uncharacterized. The transcript is spliced from 2 exons. The record is from RefSeq and is a predicted model, not a curated record. NCBI's taxonomy places the organism in Eukaryota, Metazoa, Arthropoda, Copepoda, Calanoida, Temoridae.